RNAcentral lists this ribosomal RNA (614 nucleotides) under Salmonella enterica subsp. enterica serovar Infantis. Its description in RNAcentral is "bacterial SSU rRNA". It matches the Rfam family "Bacterial small subunit ribosomal RNA", at positions 1 to 604 of the family's 1533-position model. The record is from RNAcentral. Lineage: Bacteria; Pseudomonadati; Pseudomonadota; Gammaproteobacteria; Enterobacterales; Enterobacteriaceae. RNAcentral also lists the same sequence under 1 other name.
AAAUUGAAGAGUUUGAUCAUGGCUCAGAUUGAACGCUGGCGGCAGGCCUAACACAUGCAAGUCGAACGGUAACAGGAAGCAGCUUGCUGCUUCGCUGACGAGUGGCGGACGGGUGAGUAAUGUCUGGGAAACUGCCUGAUGGAGGGGGAUAACUACUGGAAACGGUGGCUAAUACCGCAUAACGUCGCAAGACCAAAGAGGGGGACCUUCGGGCCUCUUGCCAUCAGAUGUGCCCAGAUGGGAUUAGCUUGUUGGUGAGGUAACGGCUCACCAAGGCGACGAUCCCUAGCUGGUCUGAGAGGAUGACCAGCCACACUGGAACUGAGACACGGUCCAGACUCCUACGGGAGGCAGCAGUGGGGAAUAUUGCACAAUGGGCGCAAGCCUGAUGCAGCCAUGCCGCGUGUAUGAAGAAGGCCUUCGGGUUGUAAAGUACUUUCAGCGGGGAGGAAGGUGUUGCGGUUAAUAACCGCAGCAAUUGACGUUACCCGCAGAAGAAGCACCGGCUAACUCCGUGCCAGCAGCCGCGGUAAUACGGAGGGUGCAAGCGUUAAUCGGAAUUACUGGGCGUAAAGCGCACGCAGGCGGUCUGUCAAGUCGGAUGUGAAAUCCCC